GAGUUUGAUCGUGGCUCAGAUUGAACGCUGGCGGCAUGCCUUACACAUGCAAGUCGAACGGCAGCACGGGAGCUUGCUCCUGGUGGCGAGUGGCGAACGGGUGAGUAAUGCAUCGGAACGUAUCCUGGAGUGGGGGAUAACGUAGCGAAAGUUACGCUAAUACCGCAUAUUCUGUGAGCAGGAAAGCGGGGGACCUUCGGGCCUCGCGCUCUUGGAGCGGCCGAUGUCGGAUUAGCUAGUUGGUGAGGUAAAGGCUCACCAAGGCGACGAUCCGUAGCAGGUCUGAGAGGAUGAUCUGCCACACUGGAACUGAGACACGGUCCAGACUCCUACGGGAGGCAGCAGUGGGAUUUUGGACAAUGGGGGCAACCCUGAUCCAGCCAUGCCGCGUGAGUGAAGAAGGCCUCGG
RNAcentral lists this ribosomal RNA (409 nucleotides) under bacterium enrichment culture clone ALO1_GLFRUDD03FM8CV. RNAcentral's name for it is "bacterial SSU rRNA". It matches the Rfam family "Bacterial small subunit ribosomal RNA", at positions 9 to 420 of the family's 1533-position model. RNAcentral also lists the same sequence under 1 other name. The record is from RNAcentral.